UCCGAUUUCAUCAAAGGUGUUUCCCCAUGAAUGUGAACAUUUCCGUGACUAUCUUAAUCUUACUGUGUAUGCAUUGUCGUCUGAAGUAGUUAAAGGACGUCUAGAAAGUACUGAAUGGGAUUUAUGGUAAACCAAGUCCUCUUUGGAGAACUGUACAGUGAGGUCAUCUCAUAGCCCUGUGUCCAGGUCUCCCAAGGCAGUGGAAUGGCUAAUAGCUGACUUCUGCUGCUUACAUAUCAAGGCUCUGCUAGACAUGUCCCUUGGGUCCCAACUCCAAAUGACCUGUUCUGUCUUUCGUCACUCAGCAGAGUGGCUUUAGAGCUUGUCUUGACAUUACAGACAUCUCCAACCCUUACUCAAAAUGUGCGAGGGUUCCAUCCACCGGACCCUUCGAGGCUUCCCUUUGCUUUCCUAACUCUUGGGAGUACCGCCAUCAUUGUUUGUUUGUUUGUUUGUUUGUUUGUUUGUUUGUUACAUUCCUGUGACUUAAUAGAAUGAAUACCCCUUUCUCACUGAGAGUUAACAGGUGCUGUUGCAAAAACAGCAUUUGCCGACCAGUGUGCUCUUGCUUGCCUGUGGUCCCAUCACUUGGGAUUUAGAUGCAGGAGGAUCAGGAAUUCAAGGUCAUCCUUGACUACAUAGCAAAAUAGAGACCAGCAUUAGCUUCAGGAGACCCUAUCUUUUUGAUUUUUUUUUUUUUUUUUGCUAAAAUAUAUGUUCUCUGUAAGUGAGCCUGUUGUGUUUUAUUUGGUAGUUUUGCCCUGAGGGAAUUCAGGCUUCUCUUUGUACCUUCUAUUAAACUUAGUGGAGUGGGGGAGAAAACACUGUGUUAUAAAACUGCUAAUACUGUUCUGACCGUUUCAGACUGAGUAUUUAAACACUGAAGAAGCAGGGUUUGGCCGGACCUGGUGACACACACUUGGCUGGCGGCCCAGCACUUGGGGAGCAGAGGCAGGAGGAUCUCUGAGUUCUAGGCUGCCCUGGCCUAGAUAGCUCCAGGACAGCCAGGGUUAUAUAGUGAAACCCUGGCUCAAAAAGCUACCCACAGACUAAUAAUAAACACUGCUAGUUGGCUUACAGGAAAUACGGAGAGGCAGACUAGGGGGGAAAUGACUCCUACAGUAAUUCUGUGCUUCAUGGGUUUGAAGUGAUCCUAACAAAGGAAGCCUCUCACUUCGUAGCAACAAUAUUUGAGGGAGUAAGAGAAGUUCUGGCUGGGUAUGCUCCAGGGCCUGUGCUUGGCUUGUGGGAUUUCCCUUGGUCCUUUCCCACAGCUAGUUUCUGUCAGGGAGGGUAAACUUCUGGUACACUCAGGUUUAACUGGUUGCACUAGCUGUGUGCCAAGUAUUAUUUCUGUUCCAUUUAUCCUCUCCAGCUCUUCUCUUGUGGUUUUUGUUUUGUUUUGUUUUUAAAGAGACACAUGAUCUUUCUCUGUAGUUUAGGCUAUCCUAGAACAUACUACAUAGCCCAGGCUGGCUUCAAACUUGACAUUCCUCCUGCCUUAGCCUCCCAAGUGCUAGGAUGAGUGGUUCAAAUUCAUUAUAUAUAAGGAAUGGUGAAAAGCAUUGACUUUUUUUCAUGUAAAGAGACAAGUUUGAGGGGCCAGGGAGGUGACUUAGCAGUUAGGAGCACUUGUCAUUCUUGCAGAGGACCCAGGUUUGGCUCCAACCACCCACAUGUCUGCUUAACAACCUUUAUUUGCACCUCCAGUUCCUGGGGAUCUGACACCCUCUCCUGGCCCCUGAGGGCACUGCGUGACUAUGGUGUGUAGACAUACAUGCAGGCAAAACACCCAUGUACGUAGGAAAGUAUUUUGUUUGGUACAAAACGUCCUUGUACCUGUGAGGUAAGAUAUAGGACAAUAAAAUUAAUAUUGUUGCUUUUUUCUUUUAUUUAUAAUUAUAUUCAAAAGACUAAAAGUACAGCCAGGCAUGGUAGCACAUGCCUGUAAUCCCAGCACUUGGGGAGUAGAGGCAGGAAGACCAGAAGUUCAAGAGCAGUCUGGGCUAUUUUGAGACCUUGUCUCUAGAAAAGACAAAGCUCAAACCACAGAGACUGCUCAGCAGUUCCUUGGUAGGCCCCAGCUGGUACCACAGUUGAUUCUGAUGGGUACUGGGAGGUGUGGUGGGUGGCCUGACCUUCAAAGUCAGAAGAAUGUCAGUGAAGUUCCCCACUGUCAUAUCCAGGAACCUGUCUGCGGCUGUGAACCUCACCCACUCCUGUUUCCUCCCAGUGCACAUCCGUCAGUGUUCCUGCCCCUCUCCACCUUCUAGCAUUUUCUGCAGUACAUUCAUGAAUCCUAAUUUUGUAAGAACCCUGAGUCAAAAGAGCAGAGUAGGAUUCCAGGCAAUAUGACCAAACAUCCCCUCCCCCUUCUAAACUAACUGGCCCAGGAAAGGCGAAGUGUUACGAGGCUGUAUUGAGCAUGGCCUAGAUCGUAGGUGUGUAUGACCUGUGAAGUAUGUACCAUCUAAAAUAUUACUCCUGCUUUGAAAGCUCCUGAGUAAACAUUCGUGUAAAAAGGAGUUCACUGGGAAGAUUCCCUCUUUAAUAUAGAUAGAAAUAUUCUUUAUCAGAGGUUUAGGAUACCAUUUUGCUAACUGGUAAAUAAAAACAGAUGUAAAUAUGUAAGAAUGUUUAUUUGUUGCACAUAACUUUUUUGGUAUAAAAUAAAUGUAGACAUUACCUGUGG
This 2692-nucleotide long non-coding RNA is filed under the name Rattus norvegicus (Norway rat). RNAcentral describes it as "long non-coding RNA NONRATT027459". The record is from RNAcentral. Lineage: Eukaryota; Metazoa; Chordata; Mammalia; Rodentia; Muridae.